Unclassified non-coding RNA from Pongo abelii (Sumatran orangutan), 297 nucleotides. It matches the Rfam family "Metazoan signal recognition particle RNA". From Rfam's summary of the family: The signal recognition particle (SRP) is a universally conserved ribonucleoprotein. It is involved in the co-translational targeting of proteins to membranes. The eukaryotic SRP consists of a 300-nucleotide 7S RNA and six proteins: SRPs 72, 68, 54, 19, 14, and 9. The record is from Ensembl. Lineage: Eukaryota; Metazoa; Chordata; Mammalia; Primates; Hominidae.
GUCCAGUAUAAUGGUGCAUGCCUAUAAUCCCAGCUACUCAGGAGGCUGAGAUAAGAUCACCUGAGCCUAAGAGUUCUGGCCUGUAGUGUGCUAUGCCAGUCAGGUGUCUACACCAAGUUUGGCAUCAAUAUAAUUACCUCCCGGGAGUAGGGGGACCACCAGGUUGCCUAAGGAGGGGUGAACUGGCCCAGGUUGGAAACAAGAGGUCAAAACUCCCAUGCUGAUCACUAGUGGGAUCACGCCUGUGAGCAACCACUGCACUCCAUCCUGGGGCAACACAGCAAGACCCCAUCUCGG